UGCCAGCCGCCGCGGUAAUACGGAAGGUCCAAGCGUUAAUCGGAAUUACUGGGCGUAAAGCGCGCGUAGGUGGUUUAUUAAGUUGGAUGUGAAAUCCCCGGGCUCAACCUGGGAACUGCAUCCAAAACUGAUUCACUAGAGUACGAUAGAGGGAGGUAGAAUUCACAGUGUAGCGGUGGAAUGCGUAGAUAUUGUGAAGAAUACCAAUGGCGAAGGCAGUUCACUGGACUGUGAUCGACGCUGAGGAGCGAAAGCUAGGGGAGCAAACAGGAUUAGAUA
This 279-nucleotide ribosomal RNA is filed under the name uncultured bacterium. Its description in RNAcentral is "partial 16S ribosomal RNA". It matches the Rfam family "Bacterial small subunit ribosomal RNA", at positions 506 to 784 of the family's 1533-position model. The record is from RNAcentral.